AACGAACGCUGGCGGCAUGCCUAACACAUGCAAGUCGAACGAGACCUUCGGGUCUAGUGGCGCACGGGUGCGUAACGCGUGGGAAUCUGCCCUUCGGUUGGGAAUAACUGAGAGAAAUUUCAGCUAAUACCUUAUAAUGUCUUCGGACCAAAGAUUUAUCGCCGAGGGAUGAGCCCGCGUAGGAUUAGGUAGUUGGUGGGGUAAUGGCCUACCAAGCCGACGAUCCUUAGCUGUCUGAGAGGAUGAUCAGCCACACUGGGACUGAGACACGGCCCAGACUCCUACGGGAGGCAGCAGUGGGGAAUAUUGGACAAUGGGCGAAAGCCUGAUCCAGCAAUGCCGCGUGAGUGAUGAAGGCCUUAGGGUUGUAAAGCUCUUUUACCCGGGAUGAUAAUGACAGUACCGGGAGAAUAAGCUCCGGCUAACUCCGUG
RNAcentral lists this ribosomal RNA (432 nucleotides) under uncultured bacterium. RNAcentral describes it as "partial 16S ribosomal RNA". It matches the Rfam family "Bacterial small subunit ribosomal RNA", at positions 29 to 507 of the family's 1533-position model. The record is from RNAcentral.